UACGUAGGGGGCAAGCGUUGUCCGGAAUCAUUGGGCGUAAAGAGCGUGUAGGCGGUCCGGUAAGUCGGCUGUGAAAGUCCAAGGCUCAACCUUGGGAUGCCGGUCGAUACUGCCGGACUAGAGUUCGGAAGAGGCGGGUGGAAUUCCCGGUGUAGCGGUGAAAUGCGCAGAUAUCGGGAGGAACACCUAUGGCGAAGGCAGCUCGCUGGGACGUUACUGACGCUGAGACGCGAAAGCGUGGGGAGCAAACAGG
RNAcentral lists this ribosomal RNA (253 nucleotides) under uncultured bacterium. RNAcentral describes it as "partial 16S ribosomal RNA". It matches the Rfam family "Bacterial small subunit ribosomal RNA", at positions 524 to 776 of the family's 1533-position model. The record is from RNAcentral.